Molecule: non-coding RNA, 72 nt
Organism: Phrynosoma platyrhinos (Desert horned lizard)
Lineage: Eukaryota; Metazoa; Chordata; Lepidosauria; Squamata; Phrynosomatidae
Source: the annotation of a GenBank genome assembly
GUCAGUGUGGUGCAGUGGUUUGAGCAUCAGAUUAUGACUCUGAAGAUUGGGGUUCAAUUUCCAGCUUGGCCA